RNAcentral lists this unclassified non-coding RNA (171 nucleotides) under uncultured Xylogone. RNAcentral's name for it is "sequence contains ITS1". The record is from RNAcentral. Lineage: Eukaryota; Fungi; Ascomycota; Leotiomycetes.
CAGAGUUCGUGCCCUCGCGGGUAGAUCUCCCACCCUUGUGUAUUCCUUACAUUUGUUGCUUUGGCAGGCCGUUGGUUCGCCAACCACCGGCUCUACGGGCUGGUGCGUGCCUGCCAGAGGACCCCCCAAACUCGGUUUGUUAGUGUCGUCUGAGUACCAUAACAAUCGUUA